GGGGCAUUAGCUCAGUUGGUUCAGAGCACCUGCUUUGCAAGCAGGGGGUCGUCGGUUCGAAUCCGACAUGCUCCA
This 75-nucleotide transfer RNA is filed under the name candidate division TM7 genomosp. GTL1. It matches the Rfam family "tRNA". Rfam says of the family: Transfer RNA (tRNA) molecules are approximately 80 nucleotides in length. Their secondary structure includes four short double-helical elements and three loops (D, anti-codon, and T loops). Further hydrogen bonds mediate the characteristic L-shaped molecular structure. tRNAs have two regions of fundamental functional importance: the anti-codon, which is responsible for specific mRNA codon recognition, and the 3' end, to which the tRNAs corresponding amino acid is attached (by aminoacyl-tRNA synthetases). tRNAs cope with the degeneracy of the genetic code in two manners: having more than one tRNA (with a specific anti-codon) for a particular amino acid; and 'wobble' base-pairing, i.e. permitting non-standard base-pairing at the 3rd anti-codon position. Lineage: Bacteria; Candidatus Saccharimonadota. The record is from Rfam by way of RNAcentral.